GGAAAAGCCGCGAGUUCUUGGCUACGUGGCGCGGUUGUUGGCCCGGCGCGGCCAGUGCUACUGGGGGCGUCCCUCUCUGGCCCUCCCAGGGACAAGUGACUUGAUGGUAGAUUUUGCCAAGCCCCUCACAUGAUUCUAUGAAACUCAUGGGAGCGAGGAACAGCUGCUGCGCGGAGGUGGCAGUGUGUGUGCUAAAUCCCUUUAGUUCCUGCUCUGCUUUUCCUCCAGAAAGGGAUGAGCGUCUAACAGGGGCCCCGGUCUGAACCCGCCUGCCAAAGUGAGGUUUGCUCACAUCCAACCCCUGACAGCUCCAGGGUGCUGUUACUGCGAGCAGGGCACCGGCCCUCCGGCCCGAAGCAGGGCAGGGACAUGAGGGAGAACGCGCCCUGUCCCUCCCACCUCCUCCGGACUCGGCCCCUGGAGGGGCUGACGCUGGAAGACCUGACAUCGUCGCUUCUGAUGUUCAUGGCUUUUGACCCAUGUUCAGGUUUGAAAUCUCUUACCCAGUUUAAGAACGGGAUGAACUCUCCUCGUUUAAAGGAGAGAAUGAAGAACGCUGAACGCAAAUCUCCGUCCUUGUGCGCAUAAAUCUGAGGCGACAGGAAGAAUGUGGAGGCAAACCUGGCUCUUCUCAGUACUGCUGGAGCCACCCACCGCUCUGCCAUUCAGGAACUCUGCGCGGGUGCCAGGUGCCACGCGCGGUGCUGCCCCCGCACUCCCCUCGAGCUGUGCGAACUGUAGGAAGGAGAAGCUGGUGGGGUGGAGAGCAACAGGGAGAGACCCAUGUUCGGGGUCAGACGGGAGCAGCUGCAGGAAGUUCUGGGGGAGGGGAAGGGGGAUUAUGACCAGAUGGAAAUGAAAGGAAACGGGAGACUGUAUUAAUAAACUAGCAGCUUUAUUGCCCUUCAGGGGCCAUGUCUUCAC
RNAcentral lists this long non-coding RNA (924 nucleotides) under Homo sapiens (human). Lineage: Eukaryota; Metazoa; Chordata; Mammalia; Primates; Hominidae. The record is from RNAcentral.